GACACAUGGCUCACUGCUGUCCCAUCACCCAUGGUCAAGAUGGCAGAGGGCUUUCCUUCCCUGGCAGAGCCCUCAACAAGUCAGAGCUAAGAUCGGCCUGCUUCUCUCCACCUGCCCCUUGCUCAGACAGCAGGAAGGUAAAGAGUCUGCCGCAGGCGGGAUCUGGAGAGCAGGACACCUGGGCCCCAUCCCUCCAUCUGGGGAUGUGGACUCUGCUGUAUCUCAGCUGUAGUGGCAGAUGAGAAAAAGUCCUCAGAGAGAAACGUCCUGCUGAUGUGGAAGAGGUGAAACAAAAACUGGCAGAAGCACUGAAAGGCAUCAAAAUAGACGAAUUCAAAAAUUGUUUUGAGCAGUGGCAAAAAAUGUCUCCAAAGUUGUAUUGCAUCAAAUGGAGAGUACUUUGAAGGUCUCAGCAGAAAACUUGCCUCUAGAGGAAGCUCUUCCCUGAUGUCAGGUUGCCACCCUCCAUACUCAUCGGCCUGUGGGACAGAAGCCCCGAUGUGGGAGAAACACAGGCGGGUUCGCUCUGGAUCAGCUGUGCCUGUCAUGAACGCCCCGCACAACUGAGGGCCUGGAUCGAACCGGAA
Molecule: long non-coding RNA, 587 nt
Organism: Phyllostomus hastatus (greater spear-nosed bat)
Lineage: Eukaryota; Metazoa; Chordata; Mammalia; Chiroptera; Phyllostomidae
Exons: 3
Source: RefSeq, a predicted model, not a curated record